RNAcentral lists this ribosomal RNA (276 nucleotides) under uncultured bacterium. RNAcentral's name for it is "partial 16S ribosomal RNA". It matches the Rfam family "Bacterial small subunit ribosomal RNA", at positions 524 to 795 of the family's 1533-position model. The record is from RNAcentral.
UACAUGGGGUGCAAACGUUGCUCGGAUUAUUGGGCGUAAAGCGCACGUAGGCGGUUCGUUAAGUCGGAUGUGAAAGCCCUCGGCUCAACUGAGGAAGUGCACCCGAAACUGGCGAGCUUGAGUACGAAAGAGGACUCGCGGAAUUCCCGGUGUAGAGGUGAAAUUCGUAGAUAUCGGGAGGAACACCGGUGGCGAAGGCGGCGAUUGGGUCGAUACUGACGCUGAGGUGCGAAAGCGUGGGGAGGCAAACAGGGAUUGAGAAACCCUAAGGUAGUC